GACUGGCCUGAGUGCAGUGGUGUUUACAAGUAAUUGAUCACAGCCAGUUACAGAUUUCUUUGUUCCUUCUCCAGUCCCACUGCUUCACUUGACUAGCCCUAA
Y RNA from Pongo abelii (Sumatran orangutan), 102 nucleotides. It matches the Rfam family "Y RNA". Rfam says of the family: Y RNAs are components of the Ro ribonucleoprotein particle (Ro RNP), in association with Ro60 and La proteins. The Y RNAs and Ro60 and La proteins are well conserved, but the function of the Ro RNP is not known. The record is from Ensembl. NCBI's taxonomy places the organism in Eukaryota, Metazoa, Chordata, Mammalia, Primates, Hominidae.